Molecule: long non-coding RNA, 2524 nt
Organism: Piliocolobus tephrosceles (Ugandan red Colobus)
Lineage: Eukaryota; Metazoa; Chordata; Mammalia; Primates; Cercopithecidae
Exons: 2
Source: RefSeq, a predicted model, not a curated record
UGUCGAACUUCUGGCCUCAAGUGAUCCUCCUGCCUCAGCCUCCCAAAGGGCUGGGAUUACAGGUGUGAGCUACCACGCCCAGCAAAGCUUUUGUUUUUAACUUCAUCAUUUGAUAUCUGCAUUUGCUGCAGCCUUGUAUGCUUUUUGAAAGAAGACAAGGCCUGCAUAUUUAAAGCAGGGGUGACACACUUACGGGAAUGAGUUGCCAAAGUGUCCUGGUCUAAGGCAAUAGGCUUGGUUCAUCUGUAGUCAGCCAGAGUGGGUUUGCCCAUCUGAGAAGACUUAGCCCUUCUUGUACUCUCGUUAACUACUGGAAUCAUGAAUGGGCCUCCAGAGUUCCCAGCUCUUUUGAGAAAACCCUGAGAUACAGAUUUUUUAUAGGAAAUGUCCUGGCUUUUAAAUAUUAGUCUCUAGCCCAGUGCCUGGAACAUACAUAGUAACAUUCACUGAUAGCACAUUAGGCCAGGGAAAACCUUUACUUAUUGUCUGAGAAAUAGAUCCCUGGAAAUAAGAACAAAUCUUUGAAGCUGUGGCUCAGCAGAGAGAAAGUCCACAACACUGGACCCAGCUGCCCAGACUCCCAAGGCCAUUCUUUUUAAGGCAACGAAAGAAUCUGUCAAGAAUGCAAUUCUUGCUUUUUUCAAAUACAUGAAGGACUAUGGCUUUCUUAUAGAGAAUUGGAUACACUGUGCAACCUGCUCGUAACCUGUGUAACCUCCAUUCAGAACCGCAGAAGGUCUGAUCCAAUAUCUUUGACCUGUGAAGGCAGAUGCAGUUCCCAGGAGGGCAGGAGCUGACUUUUCUUUUCAUUCUUCAACCACAUCCCCAUUCCUACACUAUCUCAUAGAACAGAGAAGUUGCUGAAUAAAUAGUCAAGGUUUAAAAAUGAAAUCAUUGCUUCCCACUUAAAGAUGUAAAGACUUCUUAGACAGAGAACUAGAUCCCUCACAUGCAGAAUCAUUCUCCCUGAAUGUGAGAAUCAGGAUCCUCGAAAUUUUCCUCUCUCCUACCACCCCAUUUUACAGAUAGAAAAACUGAGGCUCGGAGAGCUAAAGCAGGCCUGCCCGGGGGCCUUACCAGACUUCCAGGAUGGUGUCAUUCCUUUCAAGGGCCUGCAGGAGGGCUUCUGCCCCUAGGUAGGUGAUGCAGUUAUUGGACAACCUGGAGAAGAAAAUAGAAUGGUGAGCUUCAAAGAUUCUUGGUUUUCCUCUUGAAACUGUCCAGUUAAAGAGACUUCAGGAGUUAGCCAGCCCACUGAAGCCCACCUGUCCCCUAGACACCUCCCACUCAUGUCUGAGAUUCCCAAUGAGCUCAUCAGUGAAGGCUCAGUACCGUCAGUGAAAUGUACCCAUCUCUCUUCCAUUCACUAGAUGAGUUUAUCAAAUUAAGUAGCCACUCCCUUAGUAUAGUAGUUAAGUACCUGAAUUUUAGUGCUAGAUGUCCUGGGUUUAAAUCCCACCUACACGACUUUUUUGAUCUUGAGCAAAUUAGUUCUAAUUUCCUCACUGGUAAAAUGGUCCUAAAAGAGUGCCUGUGUCAUCAAGCAUAAGAAUCUAAUGAUGGGUGUAAGCAGGCUCCUGUUCACAUCCACCAUCCAUCUCCUUGUGGCAUGGGUCCCGGGCCAUUAAGUCAGCCACCAGUCCCUGCAUUACCUCCCCACACUCUGCUUGCUGGGAAGACCCACCACUCUCUGCAAACCUAAAACACUUGCACAGUACUCAAUAUGGUUUUGCUGUGUCCCCACCCAAAUCUCAUCUUGAAUUCCCACAUUUUGUGGGAGGAAGCCAGUGGAAGAUAAUUGAAUUCCAUCCUGUUCUCAUUAUAGUAAAUAAGUCUCAUGAGAUCUGAUGGUUUUAAAAAAGGGAGUUUCCCUGAACAAGCCCUCUUCUCCUGUCUGCCGCCAUGUAAGACGUGCCUUUCACCUUCCGCCAUGAUUGUGAGACCUCCCCAGCCACGUGGAACUACUAUGAAAAUGAUGUUAGACAAAAAGUAAAUUCAAGCAAUUUUCUUAUUCCAAUUCAAAAUGAGUCGUAAAGCAGCAGAGACAACUCACAACAUCAACAACGCAUUUGGCCCAGGAACUGCUAACGAACGUACAGUGCAGUGGUGGUUCAAGAAGUUUUGCAAAGGAGACGAGAGCCUGGAAGAUGAGGAGUGUGCUGGCAUGCCAUCGGAAGUUGACAAUAACCAACUGAGAGCAAUCAUCAAAGCUGAUCUUCUUACAACCACUUGAGAACUCAACAUCGACCAUUCCAUGGUCGUUCAGCAUUUGAAGCAAAUUGGAAAGGUGAAAAAGCUCGAUAAGUGGGUGCCUCAUGAGCUGAGUGAAAACCAAGAAAAUCAUCAUUUUGAAGUGUCAUCUUCUCUUUUUCUACACAACAACAGUGAACCAUUUCUUGAUCUGAUUGUGACAUGCAAUGAAAAGUGGAUUUUAUACAACUGGCAAGGACUAGCUCAGUGGUUGGACCAAGAUGAUGCUCCAAAGCACUCCCAAAGCCAAACUUGUGCCAAAAAAAAAAAAAAA